GGUCAAGUGAAGAAGCGCAUACGGUGGAUGCCUUGGCAGUCAGAGGCGAUGAAAGACGUGGUAGCCUGCGAAAAGCUUCGGGGAGUCGGCAAACAGACUUUGAUCCGGAGAUCUCUGAAUGGGGGAACCCACCUAGGAUAACCUAGGUAUCUUGUACUGAAUCCAUAGGUGCAAGAGGCGAACCAGGGGAACUGAAACAUCUAAGUACCCUGAGGAAAAGAAAUCAACCGAGAUUCCCUUAGUAGUGGCGAGCGAACGGGGAUUAGCCCUUAAGCUUCAUUGAUUUUAGCGGAACGCUCUGGAAAGUGCGGCCAUAGUGGGUGAUAGCCCCGUACGCGAAAGGAUCUUUGAAGUGAAAUCGAGUAGGACGGAGCACGAGAAACUUUGUCUGAACAUGGGGGGACCAUCCUCCAAGGCUAAAUACUACUGACUGACCGAUAGUGAACCAGUACCGUGAGGGAAAGGCGAAAAGAACCCCGGAGAGGGGAGUGAAAUAGAACCUGAAACCGUAUGCGUACAAGCAGUGGGAGCCUACUUGUUAGGUGACUGCGUACCUUUUGUAUAAUGGGUCAGCGACUUAUAUUCAGUGGCAAGCUUAACCGUAUAGGGUAGGCGUAGCGAAAGCGAGUCUUAAUAGGGCGUUUAGUCGCUGGGUAUAGACCCGAAACCGGGCGAUCUAUCCAUGAGCAGGUUGAAGGUUAGGUAACACUGACUGGA
This 717-nucleotide ribosomal RNA is filed under the name Pseudomonas aeruginosa. Its description in RNAcentral is "partial 23S ribosomal RNA". It matches the Rfam family "Bacterial large subunit ribosomal RNA", at positions 1 to 770 of the family's 2925-position model. Lineage: Bacteria; Pseudomonadati; Pseudomonadota; Gammaproteobacteria; Pseudomonadales; Pseudomonadaceae. RNAcentral also lists the same sequence under 1 other name. The record is from RNAcentral.